Chrysemys picta bellii (western painted turtle) is the source of this 2180-nucleotide long non-coding RNA. RefSeq lists it as uncharacterized. The record is from RefSeq and is a predicted model, not a curated record. Lineage: Eukaryota; Metazoa; Chordata; Testudines; Emydidae.
CGACGGUGGGAACCGGUCCCGUGGAUAGGGCGACGGUGCAGAACUGGACCCUUGGAUAAGAUACACCAAAGAUUCACAGCCUCUUCUGCUGGAUACCCCGGUCCAUUCCCUGCAGCCUGGUGACUCUGUUCUCGUGCGGACCUGAAAGGACAAGCCUCUCCAAGAGAAGUGGAAAGGACCCCACAUCGUCCUGCUUGUUUCCCACACAGCGGCAAAGGUCAAAGGACACAAGAACUGGUUUCAUCACGCUCGACUGAAAGCAGUACCCGCUCCUGAACAGUGGACUGUCCAGCCUGCUAAAAAAACUGCUAAUGACAAUUUGGGACUUAAGCUGUUAUUCAAAAGACAGAAGCACUCCUUCUGUUACCUAAUGUUUCAUCCACAUCGCAUGCAGGAUGGGAAGCCAUCCCUGCAAAUAUGGCUAUCAAUACCUAUGAGGCCCUGAAAAUUGCCUUUGCCCGUGAGUUCAAUCUCUCCAACUGUUGGAUAUGUGCCCAGACUCCCCACCAUUCAGCGGGAUUGCCCUGGAGAGUAGUUUCCCAAAAUUGGUCAGACUAUUGUCAAAGGCGAAUGGUUACCAGCAGUAGCACCUCUGACAAUUUAAGUUUGCAAUCUAACUGUACUGCAAAAGCUCCUUAUAGCCUACACAAUGGCUCUUGGAAUUCCCACUAUAGUAGCACUCUUAAGCCCCAGCCUAUUCGUUUACGUUCUCCACCCAUUGGUCUCAUAUGUUAUCAGCAAGCCAGUACAAGUAAUCAUACCUGGUUUGCAGGCAUUAGUAAGUGUAAAUUUUAUAUUGGUCCUGGUAUAAGGCUCACUGUUCCUUUACUAAAUGCCACCGGUUGGCAAACCGGUGCUGCAUUCUUUGCCCUUUCUCCACAAGCCACCCUACGGGACCUACAAGGUACCAAUAAAAAGGCUAGUUAUGGUAAAGCAUUCUGGGUAUAUGGUAAUAGUGCCUAUAAAUGGCUUCCUCGUGGUUGGCAUGGUACCUGUUACAAAGGCUAUCUCGCUCCUCCCCUCCAUGUUCUCACCAAGGCUCCCUCAGGUCGCCCUAGGUACUAUCGGUCCCUAAAAGCUACCAUUAAACCCAUUGGUAAAAAAGACAGGUUUGGAAUAAUAUCCCUCCCUUCCUAUGGGGUGGGACGGCUAACCCAACUCUACAGAAGACUGUCUACAUUUCUCACUCAGCUUGCCAAUGAUACCCUGGCCAUAAAAAAACGCAUAAGUGCUGAGCUGUACCAGCUUCGACUGCUGGCUUUGCAAAACCGCCAGGCCCUAAAUUGUGUUAGCUUCAAAAGUAUGUGCCCUUAUUAAAAAAAAAUGUUGUACCUAUGUCCCAAAGUUUUCACAAAAUAUUAACAAGUAUAUCUUGUCGGCCAAACAGGCCUUAAAUCAGUAAAAGGCCCAAAAGGGGAACCCAGUAUUUUAAAUUCCCUUUGGGGUUAAAAUACCUAGUUUAGGGAAACUAGGGGGACUAGGGAAAAGCAUUGUUCGCAUCUUGCUCACAGGUGUGGUAAUAUGUUUUGUCCUUUUCCUUUUGCUCAUUUGCUGUAAAGUGCUCAUAUGUAAAAUAUGUACCUCCCAUUCCCCAAAAGUCCCCUUAUACCCUCUCAUUAAUAAUCCUAAUUGCAUGAAGCUUAAUCGCAUUUUAUCUUUAAAGUAUAAAAAAACUCUAACAAAGAUUUGUUAAGUGUUCUCAAAAAAAAAUUGUUGGUGUCACUAGGCAUAGCUACCAGGUAACUCGAAAAAGUAAAAAGCCAAAAGUGCCAAUAAAGCUCUUCUGCUCUGGGCCUGAACCACAAAACUCCAUCUUGUGAACUCUCACUUACUUCUGUGCUAACUACUUACAUGCUAAAGCAAAAAUGUAAGGGUCAGCUUUUCUAGCAGACAGCUGUUUUGCUCACUCACAAACGCUGUAGUAAUAAAACAAGGAAAAACUGCUGUAAACAGGCCUUGCAAGGCCAAAAAAUAAGCAGGCAAAAAAAAGUUUCUAACAUGCACACUGUGUACCUGCUGUAACUGUUGUACUAAAAAAAAAAAAUAAACUAAACAGAGGCUUGCACAAAAACUGCUUAAAAUAUAAAAAAAAAUUGUUUGUAUUUGUUGCACUUAAUUUAAAACAUGGUGGUCUCCUCAUGCCUUUUCAAAGCUCUAAAAUAAACUUGGCUUGCUUUCUC